Molecule: ribosomal RNA, 684 nt
Filed under: Escherichia coli
Lineage: Bacteria; Pseudomonadati; Pseudomonadota; Gammaproteobacteria; Enterobacterales; Enterobacteriaceae
Description: partial 23S ribosomal RNA
Rfam family: Bacterial large subunit ribosomal RNA
Source: RNAcentral
AUGGAGCCGACCUUGAAAUACCACCCUUUAAUGUUUGAUGUUCUAACGUUGACCCGUAAUCCGGGUUGCGGACAGUGUCUGGUGGGUAGUUUGACUGGGGCGGUCUCCUCCUAAAGAGUAACGGAGGAGCACGAAGGUUGGCUAAUCCUGGUCGGACAUCAGGAGGUUAGUGCAAUGGCAUAAGCCAGCUUGACUGCGAGCGUGACGGCGCGAGCAGGUGCGAAAGCAGGUCAUAGUGAUCCGGUGGUUCUGAAUGGAAGGGCCAUCGCUCAACGGAUAAAAGGUACUCCGGGGAUAACAGGCUGAUACCGCCCAAGAGUUCAUAUCGACGGCGGUGUUUGGCACCUCGAUGUCGGCUCAUCACAUCCUGGGGCUGAAGUAGGUCCCAAGGGUAUGGCUGUUCGCCAUUUAAAGUGGUACGCGAGCUGGGUUUAGAACGUCGUGAGACAGUUCGGUCCCUAUCUGCCGUGGGCGCUGGAGAACUGAGGGGGGCUGCUCCUAGUACGAGAGGACCGGAGUGGACGCAUCACUGGUGUUCGGGUUGUCAUGCCAAUGGCACUGCCCGGUAGCUAAAUGCGGAAGAGAUAAGUGCUGAAAGCAUCUAAGCACGAAACUUGCCCCGAGAUGAGUUCUCCCUGACUCCUUGAGAGUCCUGAAGGAACGUUGAAGACGACGACGUUGAUA